AACGAACGCUGGCGGCAGGCCUAACACAUGCAAGUCGAGCGAGGACUUCGGUCCUAGCGGCGGACGGGUGAGUAACGCGUGGGAACGUACCCUUUGCUACGGAAUAGCCGCGGGAAACUGGGAGUAAUACCGUAUGUGCCCUUCGGGGGAAAGAUUUAUCGGCAAAGGAUCGGCCCGCGUUGGAUUAGGUAGCUGGUGGGGUAAUGGCCUACGAAGCCGACGAUCCAUAGCUGGUUUGAGAGGAUGAUCAGCCACACUGGGACUGAGACACGGCCCAGACUCCUACGGGAGGCAGCAGUGGGGAAUCUUAGACAAUGGGGGAAACCCUGAUCUAGCCAUGCCGCGUGAGCGACGAAGGCCUUAGGGUUGUAAAGCUCUUUCAGCUGGGAAGAUAAUGACGGUACCAGCAGAAGAAGCCCCGGCUAACUCCGUGCCAGCCGCCGCGGUAA
This 449-nucleotide ribosomal RNA is filed under the name uncultured bacterium. RNAcentral describes it as "partial 16S ribosomal RNA". It matches the Rfam family "Bacterial small subunit ribosomal RNA", at positions 29 to 523 of the family's 1533-position model. The record is from RNAcentral.